AGAGUUUGAUCAUGGCUCAGGAUGAACGCUAGCGGCAGGCUUAACACAUGCAAGUCGAGGGGUAGAUUUUCUUCGGAGAAUUGAGACCGGCGCACGGGUGCGUAACGCGUAUGCAACUUACCUUAUACUGGGGGAUAGCCCGGAGAAAUUCGGAUUAAUACCGCAUAUGCUCAUAGUUUCGCAUGGAACAGUGAGGAAAGAUUUAUCGGUAUAAGAUAGGCAUGCGUCCUAUUAGCUUGUUGGUGAGGUAACGGCUCACCAAGGCGAUGAUAGGUAGGGGGCCUGAGAGGGUGGUCCCCCACACUGGUACUGAGACACGGACCAGACUCCUACGGGAGGCAGCAGUGAGGAAUAUUGGGCAAUGGAGGCAACUCUGACCCAGCUAUGCCGCGUGAAGGAUGAAGGUCCUCUGGAUUGUAAACUUCUUUUGUAUGGGGAUAAACUUUUCUACGUGUAGAAAACUGAAGGUACCAUACGAAUAAGGAUCGGCUAACUCCGUGCCAGCAGCCGCGGUAAUACGGAGGAUCCAAGCGUUAUCCGGAUUUCUUGGGUUUAAAGGGUCC
This 563-nucleotide ribosomal RNA is filed under the name uncultured Flavobacteriia bacterium. RNAcentral describes it as "bacterial SSU rRNA". It matches the Rfam family "Bacterial small subunit ribosomal RNA", at positions 8 to 570 of the family's 1533-position model. The record is from RNAcentral. Lineage: Bacteria; Pseudomonadati; Bacteroidota; Flavobacteriia.